RNAcentral lists this ribosomal RNA (546 nucleotides) under uncultured Massilia sp. Its description in RNAcentral is "bacterial SSU rRNA". It matches the Rfam family "Bacterial small subunit ribosomal RNA", at positions 90 to 632 of the family's 1533-position model. Lineage: Bacteria; Pseudomonadati; Pseudomonadota; Betaproteobacteria; Burkholderiales; Oxalobacteraceae. The record is from RNAcentral.
GGCGAGUGGCGAACGGGUGAGUAAUAUAUCGGAACGUACCCAAGAGUGGGGGAUAACGUAGCGAAAGUUACGCUAAUACCGCAUACGAUCCAAGGAUGAAAGCAGGGGACCGCAAGGCCUUGUGCUCCUGGAGCGGCCGAUAUCUGAUUAGCUAGUUGGUAGGGUAAAGGCCUACCAAGGCGACGAUCAGUAGCUGGUCUGAGAGGACGACCAGCCACACUGGAACUGAGACACGGUCCAGACUCCUACGGGAGGCAGCAGUGGGGAAUUUUGGACAAUGGGCGCAAGCCUGAUCCAGCAAUGCCGCGUGAGUGAAGAAGGCCUUCGGGUUGUAAAGCUCUUUUGUCAGGGAAGAAACGGUGAAGGCUAAUAUCCUUCGCUAAUGACGGUACCUGAAGAAUAAGCACCGGCUAACUACGUGCCAGCAGCCGCGGUAAUACGUAGGGUGCAAGCGUUAUCCGGAAUCAUUGGGUUUAAAGGGUCCGUAGGCGGUCAGAUAAGUCAGUGGUGAAAGCCCAUCGCUCAACGGUGGAACGGCCAUUGAUA